CAGGUUGGGAAGGGGUCUGGGGGGAGGUGGGUGUGCCGGAUGGGACUGUGCAUGGACACAGCCCUACUGAUGGCAGUUCUGGGCUGCAUAGACAGGGAGGGAGGGCGGAUGUGGGGUGGUAUUGCCACCCCUGCUCGCAGCCUCGCAGCACGGAGCACAGGAGGUUUGCAAGGAUGUUUACAUGUUAGAUUGGCCUUGCUAAAAUGAGAGAGCUAAAAUGCACUUUAUCAUGUGUGUCCCCCUCCUCUUAUUCCCAGUGCCCACCCCAGCCACUAGCCCAGCUGCUGGCCAGCAGUGGGUGGCUGCUCGGUCCCAGGCACUGCCUCUCGGGUAGAGCCAUGUUUUCCAGACAUGCUCCAAAAGACGAAAUCCCAUAGUACCUUUUUGGGGUUUACUUGGUCCCUGCUUGGUCUGCCUCCAGGCUGGGGAGAAGCUGAGUCAGGGCCAUGGGAUUUUUGCCUUCUAUUGUCACUCAUUCUCAAAAAAAUAUAUGAAUAAAUAAAUAUCUUUAUUCAGGUUGAUUUGUAUUUGUUUACCUCAGUGUUAGCAAUGACCUGUGUUUUUGAGACCCAUUUGGAAUUGAGGGUUGCUGGUGGGUUUGGUGCUUACAAGAACACAUAUGUGUGACUUGUUGGUGACAAGCAGUGGGUAGGAAAGUGACUGAUGCCACCUGUGUCAGGUUUCGGCUCCAGUGUUGGUGUCAACCUAUUAGUCAUUCUGAGGCUUUCUAGUACACAAGCACCUAUAUACUAUAUUUCUCUAUAUAGAUAUAUAGAUGUAUUUUUAAUAUACACAUAUGUGCAUGUAUGUGUGUAUCUAUAUAAAAAUACAUAUAUAUAGGCCACACAAUUCCAGACCUCUGAAAACACAGGCAGCUUUAAUAAAUAAAAAGUCUUGCACUUUUAGCAUAUUUGUACAUAUAAGCUAAAGCCUGGUGGGUAUAAUCAGGCUGGUUUGACAAAUACAGUGAAAAGUUACUGUAUAUAUUGUAUAUACUCCAUAUAAAAUAAGGAAAAAAAUCUUAGUAUAAAUCUUGAAAAAUAUGGAACGCUUCACGAAUUUGCGUGUCAUCCUUGCGCAGGGGCCAUGCUAAUCUUCUCUUUAUCGUUCCAAUUUUAG
Long non-coding RNA from Strigops habroptila (Kakapo), 1119 nucleotides. RefSeq lists it as uncharacterized. The record is from RefSeq and is a predicted model, not a curated record. The transcript is spliced from 2 exons. Lineage: Eukaryota; Metazoa; Chordata; Aves; Psittaciformes; Psittacidae.